GUUUGACGUUUCAGUACAAACUUUAAUAUUUUAGAAUGUUCAUUAAAAAUAAACAUAAAAAUAAAUGAGGAAAUAGUGCUAAGGUCAAUGGAAAGGUUUCCGAAAAUGCACAAUGUUACAGCAAAAUGGGCAAGCGCUAUUCAAAUCGUUCCGCUUCAGGUAUCUUCGAAAUGCCGUGCUCACGCCGACUGCUUCACUGUCAGGUGACGUCCAUAAUAAACUCGGAGGCAAAAAAUUACACCAAUAUUUAAACCCAAGUACACGCUUAGUGAAGUACAAUAGCUAAAGUCAGCUAAACUAAAUAUAGUAAAUAAAACUAAGUAUAGUACGUAAA
Anopheles aquasalis is the source of this 334-nucleotide long non-coding RNA. RefSeq lists it as uncharacterized. The record is from RefSeq and is a predicted model, not a curated record. Lineage: Eukaryota; Metazoa; Arthropoda; Insecta; Diptera; Culicidae.